This 1394-nucleotide unclassified non-coding RNA is filed under the name uncultured Neocallimastigales. RNAcentral describes it as "partial contains small subunit ribosomal RNA, internal transcribed spacer 1, 5.8S ribosomal RNA, internal transcribed spacer 2, and large subunit ribosomal RNA". The stretch from base 617 to 1394 matches the Rfam family "Eukaryotic large subunit ribosomal RNA", at positions 1 to 628 of the family's 3401-position model. Lineage: Eukaryota; Fungi; Neocallimastigomycota; Neocallimastigomycetes; Neocallimastigales. The record is from RNAcentral.
UUUCCGUAGGUGAGCCUGCGGAAGGAUCAUUAAUAAAUUUUUUUUGAAAUAAAAAAAAAAUAAUAAUCAUCCUACCCUUUGUGAAUUUGUUUUGUUGAAUAAUUUUUUAAAAUUAUUUAUUGUCUAUCCAAGUUGGAAAGUUGUAAAAGACUCGGAGACUUGGAGCGGCAUAAAUAAAUUUAAAGACUUUUUUCUAAAAUUAAACUUUUUGUAUUCAUUUGUCUAAAAUAAUUUUUAUAAUAUAUAAAAACAACUUUUGACAAUGGAUCUCUUGGUUCUCGCAACGAUGAAGAACGCAGCAAAAUGCGAUAAGUAAUGUGAAUUGCAGAAUACGUGAAUCAUCGAAUCUUCGAACGCAUAUUGCACUUUUUUAGUUUACUAAAAAAGUAUGUCUGUUUGAGUAUCAGUAAAAUAUUCUCAUAAAAUUUUUUAAUUUUAUGGUUAUGAGUGUUUUACAACGAUAAACAAGUUGUUUCACUUUAAAUUGAAUUUUUUUGAAGAAAUUCUUUAAUUCAAAUUAAAUUUGGAUAAAAUUUUCCCGUAAAAAGGAAUAACUAUACAAGUUUAAUAAGAAUUUAGUGAUUUCUUUUAUGAAAAGGAAAUUUAUUAAAUAACUUGAUCUCAAAUCAGAUAAGAGUACCCGCUGAACUUAAGCAUAUCAAUAAGCGGAGGAAAAGAAACUAACAAGGAUUCCCCUAGUAACGGCGAGUGAAGCGGGAAGAGCUCAAAUUUGAAAUCUUAAAGGGUUUCCCUUUACGAAUUGUAGUUUAAAGAAGUGUUUUCUGUUGAGGUUUUGGUAAAAGUUCUUUGGAAUAGGACAUCAUAGAGGGUGAGAAUCCCGUAUUUGACCUUUACUUUCAACUUUGUGAUACACUUUCAAAGAGUCGGAUUGUUUGGGAAUGCAGUCCAAAAUGGGUGGUAAAUUUCAUCUAAAGCUAAAUAUUGGCGAGAGACCGAUAGCGAACAAGUACCGUGAGGGAAAGAUGAAAAGAACUUUGAAAAGAGAGUUAAACAGUACGUGAAAUUGUCAAAAGGGAAGCGUUUGACACCAGUGUUGUUUUUCUGAAAAUCAAUUAAAGAACUGUUUAUGCUAAGUUGUUUAGACUUUAUCAGCUAACUGUUUAGUUUUGAGCUUUUCUUUAAUGCACUUUUCAGUUAACAAGUCAACAUCAAUUUCUUUUGCUGUAAAAAAGCUUGAGGAAGGUGGCUUGAGAUUCGUCUUAAGUGUUUAUAGCCUCUUGCCUAUGCAGUCGGAGAGAUUGAGGUCUGCAGCGUAGAUCCUUCGGGGCUAAAUGCAUUUGUGCUAAGUUAUAGCAUUUUAUAGACAACUUGUUGACUAUGAUUUGUCUUGUAGCUUACUCGCUUAUGUUAUUUUACCUACGCUUAGGAUGUUG